This 69-nucleotide transfer RNA is filed under the name Ictidomys tridecemlineatus (thirteen-lined ground squirrel). RNAcentral describes it as "Spermophilus tridecemlineatus (thirteen-lined ground squirrel) tRNA". It matches the Rfam family "tRNA". From Rfam's summary of the family: Transfer RNA (tRNA) molecules are approximately 80 nucleotides in length. RNAcentral also lists the same sequence under 1 other name. The record is from Rfam by way of RNAcentral. Lineage: Eukaryota; Metazoa; Chordata; Mammalia; Rodentia; Sciuridae.
GUGGCGGCUCAAUGGUAAGAGUGCUUGCCUAGCAAGUGUGAAACACUGGGUUCAAUUCCCAGUACCACA